RNAcentral lists this antisense RNA (69 nucleotides) under Amycolatopsis tolypomycina. Its description in RNAcentral is "ASpks TB sRNA". It matches the Rfam family "ASpks TB sRNA". Lineage: Bacteria; Bacillati; Actinomycetota; Actinomycetes; Pseudonocardiales; Pseudonocardiaceae. The record is from RNAcentral.
CUUGAUCGAACCGAGCCACAACGGUGUCUCGCGGUCCUUGCCGUAGGUGGCCAGCAGGGCCUGCGCCUC